GAUGAACGCUGGCGGCGUGCCUAAUACAUGCAAGUCGAGCGAACAGACGAGGAGCUUGCUCCUCUGACGUUAGCGGCGGACGGGUGAGUAACACGUGGAUAACCUACCUAUAAGACUGGGAUAACUUCGGGAAACCGGAGCUAAUACCGGAUAAUAUAUUGAACCGCAUGGUUCAAUAGUGAAAGACGGUUUUGCUGUCACUUAUAGAUGGAUCCGCGCCGCAUUAGCUAGUUGGUAAGGUAAAGGCUUACCAAGGCAACGAUGCGUAGCCGACCUGAGAGGGUGAUCGGCCACACUGGAGCUGAGACACGGUCCAGACUCCUACGGGAGGCAGCAGUAGGGAAUCUUCCGCAAUGGGCGAAAGCCUGACGGAGCAACGCCGCGUGAGUGAUGAAGGUCUUCGGAUCGUAAAACUCUGUUAUUAGGGAAGAACAAAUGUGUAAGUAACUAUGCACGUAUUGACGGUACCUAAUCAGAAAGCCACGGCUAACUACGUG
Molecule: ribosomal RNA, 497 nt
Filed under: uncultured bacterium
Lineage: Bacteria
Description: partial 16S ribosomal RNA
Rfam family: Bacterial small subunit ribosomal RNA
Source: RNAcentral